UGUUGUUAUGUGUUGGUUAUGUGUUGAAUAUAAUGUCCUAUAAGCUUCAGUUAGGUCAGGUUAUGUGUUGCUUAAAUCUUUUGUACCUUUACUGAUUUGUGUGAGAGAGUGUGUGUGUGUGUGUGUGUCUGUGUUUGCACGCGCACAUGUGCGUGCGUGCUUGUGCUUGUUUUAUUACUUGCUGAGAGGAUACUACAAACUCAAACAAUUAUUGUAGAUUUAGAAUUACCUUACUUAU
Molecule: long non-coding RNA, 238 nt
Filed under: Homo sapiens (human)
Lineage: Eukaryota; Metazoa; Chordata; Mammalia; Primates; Hominidae
Description: non-protein coding lnc-LHFPL3-7:1
Source: RNAcentral